Homo sapiens (human) is the source of this 789-nucleotide long non-coding RNA. Ensembl annotates it as PROX1 antisense RNA 1. Its record names the gene PROX1-AS1. NCBI's taxonomy places the organism in Eukaryota, Metazoa, Chordata, Mammalia, Primates, Hominidae. The record is from Ensembl.
AUGGAGGCAAGAUCAGGAGUUCGUGAUCACAGAGACACCAGCAGCAUCAACCCACAAUCUUGGGCCUCUGGAAUGUCAGUGACAAACUAGGUUCCAAGUAUAUAUAGGCAACACAAAGAGAGAACCAUUCUCUGCUUUCAAUAGGACAGAAGAGCUCCUUGGCACUGGAUGCCUCCGGGUCUGGUUGAGAGAGGAAUGGUUAGGAGACUGUUCUGAGGAUACGCAGACAUCAUCCAAAGCUUCCUACAUUCAGAUGAGGACAGAGGUUGGGCCAGAGCUUUGUAAGCUUGUUACCUAAGGAUGGUUCUGACCAUGUAAGCAGAUCACAGAAGCUGGAGGCAAAGGAUGCCAAGAUGGGAAAGCCACAUAAUGGAAGGAUCCUGGAUUUCAGAGCUGUCACUUGGAGGAGGGGCACCCAGUGAAGGUGUCUUAUCUAACCCACACCAUAUCUUCAUGAAGUGGCCAUAUGGAUUUGAUCCCUAUCCUUCAGAGGUGCUCAGCCUAAGGGAACACGGAUAGUAGAUUAAGCACUGACCAGAGCCAAGCUGGUGAGCCUGGAGGAGCUGGUGUAACUUCUCUUUGGUGCCUGACUUCCUUCUGACUCAAACACAGGAGAAAACCUAUCACACAAAAGAACUGAGAAACUUCCUGGGUUUGGGGGUGAGCUGGAGUCACUCAGUGUGAGCCAUUCACAACAACAACUCUUGAGCCAGCCUUGACAAUGUGCUGAUGGCAACCUAGAACAUAAGCAGAGGAGUAUACAGGACAAGAACUUGAUGGUCUCGGGAA